Molecule: ribosomal RNA, 425 nt
Filed under: uncultured bacterium
Lineage: Bacteria
Description: bacterial SSU rRNA
Rfam family: Bacterial small subunit ribosomal RNA
Source: RNAcentral
AGGGAAUCUUCCGCAAUGGACGAAAGUCUGACGGAGCAACGCCGCGUGAGUGAUGAAGGUUUUCGGAUCGUAAAGCUCUGUUGUUAGGGAAGAACAAGUGCGAGAGUAACUGCUCGCACCUUGACGGUACCUAACCAGAAAGCCACGGCUAACUACGUGCCAGCAGCCGCGGUAAUACGUAGGUGGCAAGCGUUGUCCGGAAUUAUUGGGCGUAAAGGGCUCGCAGGCGGUUUCUUAAGUCUGAUGUGAAAGCCCCCGGCUCAACCGGGGAGGGUCAUUGGAAACUGGGAAACUUGAGUGCAGAAGAGGAGAGUGGAAUUCCACGUGUAGCGGUGAAAUGCGUAGAGAUGUGGAGGAACACCAGUGGCGAAGGCGACUCUCUGGUCUGUAACUGACGCUGAGGAGCGAAAGCGUGGGGAGCGAAC